This 484-nucleotide ribosomal RNA is filed under the name uncultured bacterium. Its description in RNAcentral is "partial 16S ribosomal RNA". It matches the Rfam family "Bacterial small subunit ribosomal RNA", at positions 30 to 507 of the family's 1533-position model. The record is from RNAcentral.
AUUGAACGCUAGCGGGAUGCUUUACACAUGCAAGUCGAACGGCAGCGCGGACUUCGGUCUGGCGGCGAGUGGCGAACGGGUGAGUAAUGUAUCGGAACGUGCCCAGUAGCGGGGGAUAACUACGCGAAAGCGUAGCUAAUACCGCAUACGCCCUACGGGUGAAAGCAGGGGAUCGUCAGACCUUGCACUAUUGGAGCGGCCGAUAUCGGAUUAGCUAGUUGGUGAGGUAACGGCUCACCAAGGCGACGAUCCGUAGCUGGUUUGAGAGGACGACCAGCCACACUGGGACUGAGACACGGCCCAGACUCCUACGGGAGGCAGCAGUGGGGAAUUUUGGACAAUGGGGGCAACCCUGAUCCAGCCAUCCCGCGUGUGCGAUGAAGGCCUUCGGGUUGUAAAGCACUUUUGGCAGGAAAGAAACGUCGCGGGCUAAUACCCCGUGGAACUGACGGUACCUGCAGAAUAAGCACCGGCUAACUACGUG